UUUGUAAGAAUAUGAUUGACUAGUAUUUGAGGAGUAUGAAGUGUUGAUUUCAAUUGAUGCUGAAAUACAUCCAAAUGUAAAGGACUCCCUUCUGUGGUUAACAGGGCAUGUGUUCCCUUAAAACAGUGAAAGGGAGACUGUAGAAUAAAUUUCUUUACCUGAUUUAAAAACACAGCCUUGAAAUUAAAAUGAUGAGGAGUAAAAGAUGUCGAUAAGUAUUUGUAGCACUUCACAAAAAGUGCUGUUGUUUUCUAAGACUUCCUAAGGUAGGAUGUUUUUGCUAUUGUCUUUUCUCAAUGGUGUUUUUAUGUCCUUUGUCUGUAUGUUUCAACUAAGCACUUAAGACAAGAAGGAAACACAUUUAAGUACUUUAAAUGUAGAUUCUGUCUUGAUUUGGUUUUUUAUUGGUUUUUCUUUUUCUUACAGUACACUGGGGAGAGCCUACAUACAGGUCCUACACUUUGUCAGGAACUGAGAUACCCUCUGAUGGGACAUUCUGCAUAACCUGCCCUACGUCUGGAACUGACACAACCUCUGAUUCCAUUCAGCUUCCAUUUGUACCCCAAGGAAUCAGUACACCUCGUGGUCCUGCUCCUGAUGAAUCUCUUCCGAUUUACUUUAUACCCCAAGGAACCAGUACACCUGUUGGCCCUGUUCCUAGUGGUAAGUCUGCUUUUCAAGCAGUUUUAGUUACUUAGAUGUGGCUUC
This 708-nucleotide long non-coding RNA is filed under the name Catharus ustulatus (Swainson's thrush). RNAcentral's name for it is "lncRNA (ENSCUSG00005012349.1)". The record is from RNAcentral. Lineage: Eukaryota; Metazoa; Chordata; Aves; Passeriformes; Turdidae.